GAUGAAGAACGCAGUGAAAUGCGAUACGUAAUGUGAAUUGCAGAAUUCAGUGAAUCAUCGAGUCUUUGAACGCACAUUGCGCCCCCUGGUAUUCCGGGGGGCAUGCCUGUCCGAGCGUCAUUGCUGCCCUCAAGCACGGCCUGUGUGUUGGGCCUCCGUCCUCCUCCCGGGGGACGGGCCCGAAAGGCAGCGGCGGCACCGCGUCCGGUCCUCGAGCGUAUGGGGCUUCGUCACCCGCUCUUGUAGGCCCGGCCGGCGCUUGCCGACACAUCAAUCUUUUUUCCAGGUUGACCUCGGAUCAGGUAGGGAUACCCGCUGAACUUAAGCAUAUCAAUAAGCGGAGGA
Molecule: unclassified non-coding RNA, 345 nt
Filed under: soil metagenome
Description: partial contains 5.8S ribosomal RNA, internal transcribed spacer 2, and large subunit ribosomal RNA
Rfam family: 5.8S ribosomal RNA (bases 1-120)
Source: RNAcentral